AGGACGAACGCUGGCGGCGUGCUUAACACAUGCAAGUCGAGCGGAAAGGCCCUUCGGGGUACUCGAGCGGCGAACGGGUGAGUAACACGUGAGUAAUCUGCCCCUAGCUCUGGGAUAGCUCCGGGAAACCGGGAUUAAUACCAGAUACGACCACUUUAGACAUCUGUUGUGGUGGAAAGAAUUUUGGCUAGGGAUGAGCUCGCGGCCUAUCAGCUUGUUGGUGAGGUAACGGCUCACCAAGGCGACGACGGGUAGCCGGCCUGAGAGGGCGACCGGCCACACUGGGACUGAGACACGGCCCAGACUCCUACGGGAGGCAGCAGUGGGGAAUAUUGCGCAAUGGGCGAAAGCCUGACGCAGCGACGCCGCGUGGGGAUGAAGGCUUCGGGUUGUAAACCCUUCAGCAGGACGAAGCGAAAGUGACGGUACCUGCAGAAGAAGCGCCGGCUAACUACGCGCCAGCAGCCGC
This 469-nucleotide ribosomal RNA is filed under the name uncultured bacterium. RNAcentral describes it as "SSU rRNA". It matches the Rfam family "Bacterial small subunit ribosomal RNA", at positions 26 to 518 of the family's 1533-position model. The record is from RNAcentral.